AUACACCAUUCAAUAGUGUAUUAUUGAAAGUCAUCUUCGCGAUAAAAGUGUUUACUUACUCCACUGGUGGAGUGAAGAGUCGUGAACGUCGCAGGUUUUUAAACCGUGAAGAUUAUUUCGUUGAAGACCGGAUUGGCGUCCGAGUGUCCGAGUCCAAACCCAGUGUGUUUCUUUCCACGUCGAUAUCUGGCCGGGUCUUUCGUUUGGAUCGAUUCUUGCUGUUCAAGUGAAUUCAGCUGCUGUGCGAUCGCCUUCAAGCACCGUGAAGGCGAACCCCAACAGCUGUGGCGAGCCUGGCCUUCAGAUAAGAACUGUUGAUAUAACUG
This is a long non-coding RNA of Engraulis encrasicolus (European anchovy), 326 nucleotides long. RefSeq lists it as uncharacterized. The record is from RefSeq and is a predicted model, not a curated record. Lineage: Eukaryota; Metazoa; Chordata; Actinopteri; Clupeiformes; Engraulidae. The transcript has 3 exons.